Gymnodraco acuticeps is the source of this 1040-nucleotide long non-coding RNA. RefSeq lists it as uncharacterized. The transcript has 5 exons. The record is from RefSeq and is a predicted model, not a curated record. NCBI's taxonomy places the organism in Eukaryota, Metazoa, Chordata, Actinopteri, Perciformes, Bathydraconidae.
AGACACAGACAGACAGAGAGGGGAUGACACGGGGGAACGGCGAUACGGCAGUGGUUGAAACAAAGCGGUAUGUUUUGACUGGCACUAACGGUCGAGGAGUGAAGAUCAGUUGAGCGUUUCUGUGACUCCGCCCAGCGGCUGCUCUUCUGAGAGGCACCGCUCUGACAACUCUGUCUACUGGGAAACGCGGCUUUGCAUUUGAACCCCUAUGACUGGUUGCGGACUUGAAGGGAACGCCUUCCUGACAUCCAGGAAAAUUUUUUAUUGAACAGUAGAGAUCUACUGGAAACAGUGGAGAGGGAGGAGAUGAUAUGCAGCAAAAGGCCGAGCCGUAUGGUUGCUGCUCCAUGUGUAACGUGUUCUAUCAGGUGUAACAUCUACCAAUGGUUGUACAUGACAGAGACCUCCUCCACCUCUUUGCUCUCCUACUAGUAAACCCUCCUGAUCAGAGCCUUUCCUAAAUAGUGAAAGGAUCAUGCCAGCCCACAUCAAACACCUGAUCAAGAACUUGUGAAUCUUCAGGCAGAAAAGAUGAAAACACCUGUUCAAAGUUCCAGUUCCCUGUACAUCGAACCAUGCCUGUCCUCUGUUCCACAUGUCUUCAGUCUGUUCUGGACCCCAUGACUCGGACACUAGUUCUACCAAGGCUCAUUAGAGGUAAGCAGUGGUAGAGAGUGUACACUGAUCACACAUUUUUUCCAAAAGGUUGCCGACCCAUGCCCUACACCAAAAAGCAUUGUAGAUUGAAAUUCAGAAACUGGAGGAAAAAUCACUUUAAUGAAGAAAUAUAAAUGAUAGUUUAAUACAAUCUAUUAAAGUAUUACUGAAAAUAAUCCCACUAAAUGUGCUGAAUACAUAAUUCAGGAAUGAUUUUUGCUCCAUCUAACAGAGAAUGAGAAGCAUAACCCAAGAUUAGUGGGAAACGAGGGACACCUGCUGGCAGACAUAUCAAGCUUAUAUAAAUUAAAACAGUAAGGAGCAUGUUUGUUCCUGCUUGAGAGUUGUACAGUUAUAAUGCAUGGCUGUCAUUGAGAAUAUUA